AUUGAACGCUGGCGGCAUGCCUUACACAUGCAAGUCGAACGGUAACGCGGGGCAACCUGGCGACGAGUGGCGAACGGGUGAGUAAUGUAUCGGAACGUGCCCAGUUGUGGGGGAUAACUGCUCGAAAGAGCAGCUAAUACCGCAUACGACCUGAGGGUGAAAGCGGGGGAUCGCAAGACCUCGCGCAGUUGGAGCGGCCGAUAUCAGAUUAGGUAGUUGGUGGGGUAAAGGCUCACCAAGCCAACGAUCUGUAGCUGGUCUGAGAGGACGACCAGCCACACUGGGACUGAGACACGGCCCAGAAUCCUACGGGAGGCAGCACUUGGGAAUUUUGGAUAAUGAGGGCAACCCUGAUCCAGCCAAGCUGCGUGCGGGAAGUAGGCGUUCGGGUUGUAAACCGCUUUUGUAAGGGAAGAAAAGACUCCUGUUAAUACCGGGGGUUAAUGUCGGUACCUGAAGAAUAAGCACCGGCUAACUACGUGCCAGCCGCCGCCGUAA
RNAcentral lists this ribosomal RNA (498 nucleotides) under uncultured bacterium. RNAcentral's name for it is "partial 16S ribosomal RNA". It matches the Rfam family "Bacterial small subunit ribosomal RNA", at positions 30 to 523 of the family's 1533-position model. The record is from RNAcentral.